AGCGAACGCUGGCGGCAGGCUUAACACAUGCAAGUCGAACGCAUCCUUCCGGGUGAGUGGCAGACGGGUGAGUAACACGUGGGAACGUACCCUUCGAUCUGGGAUAACUUCGGGAAACUGGAGCUAAUACCGGAUACGCCCUUUUGGGGAAAGGUUUACUGUCGAAGGAUCGGCCCGCGUCUGAUUAGCUAGUUGGUGGGGUAACGGCCUACCAAGGCGACGAUCAGUAGCUGGUCUGAGAGGAUGAUCAGCCACACUGGGACUGAGACACGGCCCAGACUCCUACGGGAGGCAGCAGUGGGGAAUAUUGGACAAUGGGCGCAAGCCUGAUCCAGCCAUGCCGCGUGAGUGAUGAAGGCCUUAGGGUUGUAAAGCUCUUUUGUCCGGGACGAUAAUGACGGUACCGGAAGAAUAAGCCCCGGCUAACUUCGUG
RNAcentral lists this ribosomal RNA (433 nucleotides) under uncultured bacterium. Its description in RNAcentral is "partial 16S ribosomal RNA". It matches the Rfam family "Bacterial small subunit ribosomal RNA", at positions 29 to 507 of the family's 1533-position model. The record is from RNAcentral.